RNAcentral lists this unclassified non-coding RNA (388 nucleotides) under soil metagenome. RNAcentral describes it as "partial contains 5.8S ribosomal RNA, internal transcribed spacer 2, and large subunit ribosomal RNA". The stretch from base 1 to 122 matches the Rfam family "5.8S ribosomal RNA", at positions 35 to 154 of the family's 154-position model. The record is from RNAcentral.
GAUGAAGAACGUAGCGAAAUGCGAUAAGUAAUGUGAAUUGCAGAAGUCAGUGAAUCAUCGAAUCUUUGAACGCACCUUGCACCCUUUGGAAUUUUCCAAAGGGUAUGCUCGUUUGAGUGUCAUUGUACUCUCACACUCUCCGAUCCUUUGGAUAUGGGGAGCGGUGGACUUGGGUGCUUGCUGCUUCCUUGUGGCUCACCUGAAAUGCGUCAGUGCAUCUCUUGAUUGGACAUAGUACGGCGUGAUAAGUGUCUUCGCCGGCACCUCAUAAGAGGGUGGCCGAUCGGGAGCUCUGUGCUUUCAAACCGUCUUCGGACAAUCCCUGACAACUUGACCUCAAAUCGAGUAGGACUACCCGCUGAACUUAAGCAUAUCAAUAAGCGGAGGA